GUUUAACAAAAGGAGCCUUGAUGUGACUCUCUCCUUGGCGAGAGACCUGCCAUGCCAGGCUGGGGAUCGGGGUUCUCUACCCUUAUGUGGGAAAACAGAUGUUAUGCCACAGUCCUGGGAGCUCUUUCUGGAAUGGUUGACAACAGGCUUGCUGGGACAGAGUCCUUCAGCUCAACAGGGCCGGAUAGAAGUUAUGCUUGUCUGCAGAGUACAGAUGAGGGAACAGGGACUGAGCUGCUUUGCAGGGGCGUGAUGGUAAGUUUUAUGUGUCAACUUGACAGGCUGCCUAGAUAGCUGGUAAAAAAUCAUUUCUCAGGUGUGGGGUGUUUCUGGAAAAGAUUUAACUCAGUGGACUAAGAAGAUUCACCCUCACCAAUGAAGAUAGGUGUCAUCCAAGUUACUGAGGGCCUGAUUAGAACAAAAUGUGGAGGAGGCCGGAUUUGUUCCCUGCUUAAACUAAGACUUCCAUCUUCUCCCCAAGUCGUUGCUGCUCCUGGUCCUCUGCCUUCUGAUUCAGACUGAGACUUAUACAUGGGCUUCCCCAGUUCUCAGUCCAUAGGGCCUGAACAGGAACCAUACCACCUAUGUUCUUGGGCCUCUAGCUGUCAGAUGGCAGACUGUGGGGUUUCUCAGCCCCCAUCAUUGUGAGAGCCAACUCCUCUCUUUCUGUGUGUCUGCACAUCUCUUUUUUGUUCUUUUUCUCUGGAGAACCCUGAUCAACUCAUGAAGUCAUCCAGGAAGGGGAAACAUCAUGGGCCUGGGCCUAUGCCCCAUUCCUGGCUGCUGUGGUGACAAACUGCUCCACUUUGUCUGAGACGGAAGGUUUCUGGGAGAAUAUGGAACAUUCACUGUAAACACCAGAGUGCCCUGGGCAAACUAGGUAAACAACAGGUGGCUGAAGAUCUAUGCCUCCUAAACAAAUGGGAAGUUCUGAAUGGGAAACUUAUAUCAGUGGCUGGACCCCUUUCCCAGGACCUCCUGUCACCACUGGCCCUGCCACUACAGGAUCCAUGACUAUUGCUGUGCAUGUACCUGCUGGAAGCCACCGAC
Molecule: long non-coding RNA, 1050 nt
Filed under: Heterocephalus glaber (naked mole-rat)
Lineage: Eukaryota; Metazoa; Chordata; Mammalia; Rodentia; Bathyergidae
Description: lncRNA (ENSHGLG00000046425.1)
Source: RNAcentral